Molecule: long non-coding RNA, 2195 nt
Filed under: Homo sapiens (human)
Lineage: Eukaryota; Metazoa; Chordata; Mammalia; Primates; Hominidae
Description: PREDICTED lncRNA (TCONS_00021811)
Source: RNAcentral
ACAGAAACUUAAGUGAUUUAGAGUGUGACUUUCAUGAACAGAAAUAGUCUCCAUAAUCUAAUCUCCAGAAUGCACUAAACCAGGAGAAGAUCCACCUGGAAUGGAAGAAUAUUAAGGAGAACAAGUCCUCAUCUCUCCAAAGACCCUUCAUCCUUCAUUUCACAAUAGUCUUUAUUGGUCUGCUGGAGUUUGCUGGAGGUCCACUCCAGACCCUGUUUGCCUGGGUAUCACCGGCAGAGGCUGCAGAGCAGCAAAGAUUGCUGCCUGCUCCUUCCUCUGGAAGCUUCAUCCCAAAGGGGCACCCGCCUGAUGCCAGCCAGAGCUCUCCUGUACGAGAGAUGCCCUGCCCAGUGAGGAGGAAUCUAGAGAAGCAGUCUGGCCAUAGCUUUGCUGCACUGCGCACUUCUCCUUGCUGCCGCCAUGUGAAGAAGAAUGUGUUUGCUUCCCCUUCCGCCAUGAUUGUCAUGACAUUUUGAGCACAAUUGUGUGUGGGAUGCAUUCAUCAAUAGAGCUGGAAGCACCAACCACCAUAGGAGAGGAAACUUUUAGUUACAAGCACAUGAAUAAAUAAAAUCAAACUCAACUGGAAUGACGUUCCUGAGGAUGGAGAUACAUUUUUUUGUUGACCCAUCUAAACUUGAACAGCAAGUGAUAAUCAGUCUCCAAUCAGAAAGUCCCAGGACUUAUAGGAGCAGAAAUCAGAAGACUUUACUCCACACACUUCAGGUGGACAUGUGGACAAAGCCAUCGGAGAACAUGACAAAAAUACAGCAAGAGCAGAGACAAGAUCAGAUCAUCCUGGGGGCAGAUGCUGGGCUCUGACCAAUUUGAGAGAGAAAAGGAAAAAGAACCCAGCUACAAGAUGCACAAGUAGCAGGCCACAGCCACCAACAUCAGCAGAGCAAUUGGAGGCCAGGAAGACAAGGACACUUCUGAAGAGACUGAAAAAAGCAGAAGACAGUCCAAGUCACUGCAAGGUUCCAAGGUCUCUUUUUUCAUUACUGUUACAAGUACCAAGUAAGCCAAAAUCCACCCUACUCUUCAAAACCAUCUUGAAGAGUUGCAGGUCAGGGUUGCUGCAUCUGAGCAUGUUUACUCACAAAAGGUGACAGAUGCUCCUCAACUUACAAUGAGAUUACAUCCUGAUAAAUGUGUCAUAAGUUGAAAGUAUCUUAUAAGUCGAAAAUGCAUUUACUACAGCCUAACCCACUGAACAUUGUAGCUUAGGCUAGCCUACCUUAAAACGUGAUCAGGACACUUCCCUCAGCCUACAUUUGGGCAAAAUCACCUAACACGAAGCCUAUUUUAUAAUAGAGCAUUGAAUAGCUCAAAUAAUUUAUUGAAUACUGUACAUUACAUAGAAUUUGUGACAGUUUUACACCAUCAUUAUGUCAAAAAAUCAUUAAGUUGAGCCACCAUAACUCAGGGACUGUCUGUAUUUAUAUUUUUACUUCACACUAAGCUUUGAAACUGAAAUUUUUGCUCCUCAGCAGAUGGGGUUUCUGAGAAAGACCAAAUUAGUUAUAGAGCACUAGCUCCCAAAAAAAAAAAAAAAAAAAAACAGAAGAAGUCAGAGGAGGAGGGCAACAUGGAGCAGAGGAAGAAGGAGAGAAAAAGCAAGAAACCAUUAUCGCUCCCUCAUCUGAACUGCACUGCGAGUAAGCUGGGGCUUCCACCACAGUGUCCUGGAAGCCAUGUUUGCUGCCCAUUUCUGGACUCUCCAGCCACACUGGCCUCCUUUCCCUUUCUCAAACCUGCUGUGGUUCCUGCCACUUCAAGAUAAUCUCUUAACAAUCUAUUCCUUCUGCCUGGAAUGCUCUUCCUCCCACCCAACCCCGCUCUGCCCAGCUAACUCCAUUCUUUGGCCCCUGCAUCACUUUCCCAAGGAAGCCAUUUCUGGACUUCCCUGACCCCUGCCUUCCAUCUUCACUGGCCCAGAGUUCCCUACCCUAUGGUCUCAUUGCUCCCUCCCAGGCACUGCUGCCUCCCAGGACUCUUCCCUGUCGGUAAUAUAGUUCUGUUUGAUUGUUCAGUUAAUUUUGCCUCCCCUGAAGACCAUAAGCCAUGUUGGCAAUGAUGGUUUUGCUCACCAUUGCACCUCCAGUGUCUAAAAACCAUGGGCAGGUCAAUUCAUUUUUGUUGAGUAAAGGAAUUGUUCAAUAAGUGCACAAAUAAAUUCACAUUAAAACUUGUCC